UAGGGAAUCUUCCGCAAUGGACGCAAGUCUGACGGAGCAACGCCGCGUGAGUGAUGAAUGUCUUCGGAUUGUAACCCUCUGUUGGUUAGCCAAGAACAAGUACCGUUCGAAUAGGUCGGUACCUUGACGGUACCUAACCAGAAAGCCCCGGCUAACUACGUG
This 162-nucleotide ribosomal RNA is filed under the name uncultured bacterium. Its description in RNAcentral is "partial 16S ribosomal RNA". It matches the Rfam family "Bacterial small subunit ribosomal RNA", at positions 355 to 507 of the family's 1533-position model. The record is from RNAcentral.